This 713-nucleotide long non-coding RNA is filed under the name Homo sapiens (human). RNAcentral's name for it is "novel transcript". Lineage: Eukaryota; Metazoa; Chordata; Mammalia; Primates; Hominidae. The record is from RNAcentral.
CUGCUGUGGAACUUGUCUCUGUCUCUUUUUCUGAUUUUGUCCCUCAGUCGAAUUAUUUCUUCUGAGGAGGCAAGGACUGAAGUUGCUACAGACCCCUAAGGACAGGCCAUCGGUAACACUGGGUAAAUCAGAUCUCUUCCACGGGUCUAUCAAUGAGAAGAAAGUGCCAACUGAAAACUUUUAGAAAAUACCCAGUUUACUCAAGGAAAAUAACAUGCAUUGAAGGUGAUUGCUCAAUAGAGAGAAGUUGAAACAGCAGACUAAUUGCCUGUUUGUGACACCCAUGUAAUCAACUUGCCAUUUGUACUCAUCAGUUCAGGCUGUGUUUUCCCACUGAGACAUCAUUUACAGUGCUCUAAACAUAUUUUCACAACAUUCACCUGACAACAUCAGCUGAGAGAAAAAUUUUCAGACUGCCGAGAAACAUCAGGAGGCCAUGAAUUCUUAAUCAACACACCAAAUUAUGAAAAUGGCCUAUAGGUUGAGGUUGAUCUGAAAGAUAGGACUAUUUGUGAUCCAGAAUCAAAAGAGUCAAGAAAAGUCUGAGAAUUUCAUCCUUGGAGCAGAAAGUGAAAGUGUUCUGGAGCCAAAAGUAGUAACAAAGAUGGAGGGCAAGAGAUCAUUGGAUUAAAUCAUAUUGGCAGACCAAAUUUCAGAAGAAUCAACACACCAGAGACAAGAAGAACUUGAAGUUAAAGCAAAGUUCCCUUAUA